Molecule: transfer RNA, 69 nt
Filed under: Grimmia funalis
Lineage: Eukaryota; Viridiplantae; Streptophyta; Bryopsida; Grimmiales; Grimmiaceae
Description: partial tRNA-Leu
Source: RNAcentral
GACUUAAAUAAUUUGAGCGAAAAUCCGUUGGCUUUAUUGACCAUGAGGGUUCAAGUCCCUCUACCCCCA